CCUUGUGGAGGAGGACGCCGAAGGUGGGGCUAAUGACUGGGGUGAAGUCGUAACAAGGUAGCCGUACCGGAAGGUGCGGCUGGAUCACCUCCUAACAGGGAGACAACAAAAUGUUUAAUAUUAUUAUUUUGUCACCUUAGGUCGAUCGGUAUCUCACGUUUUUAAUUUAUUAAGAAUUUCAUUUCCUAAGUUUUUCUAGGUCACACCCAUUUUUUUCCUGGGCCAUUAGCUCAGGUGGUUAGAGCGCACCCCUGAUAAGGGUGAGGUCCCUGGUUCAAGUCCAGGAUGGCCCAUAUCUCUAUGUUGGGGGUAUAGCUCAGUUGGUAGAGCGCCUGCUUUGCAAGCAGGAUGUCAGCGGUUCGAGUCCGCUUACCUCCACUGAUUACCACCUCUUACAUAAUCUGUAGAAAGGAAAUUUUUGAGUUGUGAUCAUAAUUCUGAACGAAUCUAGCUUCCUAAUGAAAGCAUUAAGAUGCUGGACUCAUUGAAUUAAUUUCAUUGUUUUCAGAGAACCUUGACAACUGCAUAGAUUAUUUUUAAAGACAAUAAGCAUCUUUUAUGAUGCAGAUUUAUUAUUUGUGCGAAUGCAUUAAUAACAAUUCUAUUAAGCUGAUGCUUCAAUUUUGAAGUUAUUGGUCAAGCUACAAAGGGCUCACGGAGGAUACCUAGGCACACAGA
This 678-nucleotide unclassified non-coding RNA is filed under the name uncultured Prochlorococcus sp. Its description in RNAcentral is "partial may contain 16S ribosomal RNA, 16S-23S ribosomal RNA intergenic spacer, and 23S ribosomal RNA". The stretch from base 1 to 95 matches the Rfam family "Bacterial small subunit ribosomal RNA", at positions 1439 to 1533 of the family's 1533-position model. Lineage: Bacteria; Bacillati; Cyanobacteriota; Cyanophyceae; Synechococcales; Prochlorococcaceae. The record is from RNAcentral.